AUUGAACGCUGGCGGCAGGCCUAACACAUGCAAGUCGAGCGGACGAAUGGAGCUUUUUCCUGUAUGCAGCGGCGGACGGGCGAGUAAUUCCCAGGAAUCUGCCCUGUAGUGGGGGAUAACGUCCGGACACGGGCGCUAAUACCGCAUACGUCCUGAUGGAGAAAGUGGGGGAUCUUCGGACCUCACGCUAUUAGAUGAGCCUAGGUCGGAUUAGCUAGUUGGUGGGGUAAAGGCCUACCAAGGCGACGAUCCGUAACUGAUCUGAGAGGCUGAUCAGUCACACUGGAACUGAGACACGGUCCAGACUCCUACGGGAGGCAGCAGUGGGGAAUAUUGGACAAUGGGCGAAAGCCUGAUCCAGCCAUGCCGCGUGUGUGAAGAAGGUCUUCGGAUUGUAAAGCACUUUAAGUUGGGAGGAAGGGCAGUAAGUUAAUACCUUGCUGUUUUGACGUUACCAACAGAAUAAGCACCGGCUAACUUCGUG
RNAcentral lists this ribosomal RNA (484 nucleotides) under uncultured bacterium. RNAcentral describes it as "partial 16S ribosomal RNA". It matches the Rfam family "Bacterial small subunit ribosomal RNA", at positions 30 to 507 of the family's 1533-position model. The record is from RNAcentral.